GAUGAACGCUAGCUACAGGCUUAACACAUGCAAGUCGCAGGGUAACAUGAGGAAAGCUUGCUUUCCCUUGAUGACGACUGGCGCACGGGUGAGUAACGCGUAUCCAACCUUCCCAUAACUACGGGAUAACCCGUUGAAAGACGGCCUAAUACNCGUAUGAUAUCGUUUGCUGACAUCAAAUAACGAUUAAAGGUUUAGCGGUUAUGGAUGGGGAUGCGUCUGAUUAGCUUGUUGGCGGGGUAACGGCCCACCAAGGCUACGAUCAGUAGGGGUUCUGAGAGGAAGGUCCCCCACAUUGGAACUGAGACACGGUCCAAACUCCUACGGGAGGCAGCAGUGAGGAAUAUUGGUCAAUGGGCGAGAGCCUGAACCAGCCAAGUAGCGUGCAGGAUGACGGCCCUAUGGGUUGUAAACUGCUUUUAUGUGGGGAUAAAGUGCGUGACGUGUCAUGCAUUGCAGGUACCACAUGAAUAAGGACCGGCUAAUUCCGUGCCAGCCGC
Molecule: ribosomal RNA, 500 nt
Filed under: uncultured Bacteroidales bacterium
Lineage: Bacteria; Pseudomonadati; Bacteroidota; Bacteroidia; Bacteroidales
Description: bacterial SSU rRNA
Rfam family: Bacterial small subunit ribosomal RNA
Source: RNAcentral